GUCCACGCUGUAAACGAUGAGUGCUAGAUGUUGCGGGUAUUGACCCCUGCAGUGUCAAAGCUAACGCGUUAAGCACUCCGCCUGGGGAGUACGGUCGCAAGAUUAAAACUCAAAGGAAUUGACGGGGGCCCCGCACAAGCGGUGGAGCAUGUGGUUUAAUUCGACGCAACGCGCAGAACCUUACCUGGGUUUGAACUGCAGCAGACCGGCGCAGAAAUGUGCCUUUCCUUCGGGACUGCUGUGGAGGUGCUGCAUGGCUGUCGU
Molecule: ribosomal RNA, 264 nt
Filed under: uncultured bacterium
Lineage: Bacteria
Description: partial 16S ribosomal RNA
Rfam family: Bacterial small subunit ribosomal RNA
Source: RNAcentral